RNAcentral lists this ribosomal RNA (206 nucleotides) under uncultured bacterium. RNAcentral describes it as "partial 16S ribosomal RNA". It matches the Rfam family "Bacterial small subunit ribosomal RNA", at positions 1294 to 1500 of the family's 1533-position model. The record is from RNAcentral.
CAGAUUGCAGGCUGCAACCCGCCUGCAUGAAGUCGGAAUUGCUAGUAAUCGCGGAUCAGCAUGCCGCGGUGAAUACGUUCCCGGGCCUUGUACACACCGCCCGUCACACCAUGGGAGCCGGUAAUACCCGAAGUCAGUAGUCCAACCGCGUGAGGACGCUGCCGAAGGUAGGAUUGGCGACUGGGGUGAAGUCGUAACAAGGUAGC